CCGCCCAGCUCAGUGGUCUAGAGGUUAAGCGUUCGAGCGCGAGACUGAUAGGUCGUGGGUUCGAAUCCCACGAGGCG
This 77-nucleotide transfer RNA is filed under the name Schistosoma mansoni. The record is from RNAcentral. Lineage: Eukaryota; Metazoa; Platyhelminthes; Trematoda; Strigeidida; Schistosomatidae.